UCUCCGUUGGUGAACCAGCGGAGGGAUCAUUACAGAGUUAUCUAACUCCCAAACCCAUGUGAACUUACCAUUUGUUGCCUCGGCAGAGCCUACCCGGUAACUGUUCGGAGAAGCUACCCUGUAGCUACCCUGUAACGGCCUACCCUGUAACGUCCUGCCGGUGGCCCUAUAAACUCUAUGUUUUUUGUACAUCAUCUGAGUAACAACUAAAAAAAAAUGAAUCAAAACUUUCAACAACGGAUCUCUUGGUUCUGGCAUCGAUGAAGAACGCAGC
RNAcentral lists this unclassified non-coding RNA (274 nucleotides) under uncultured fungus. RNAcentral's name for it is "sequence contains ITS1, 5.8S rRNA gene". The stretch from base 226 to 274 matches the Rfam family "5.8S ribosomal RNA", at positions 1 to 49 of the family's 154-position model. Lineage: Eukaryota; Fungi. The record is from RNAcentral.